This 314-nucleotide small RNA is filed under the name Pan troglodytes (chimpanzee). RNAcentral describes it as "processed transcript". The record is from RNAcentral. Lineage: Eukaryota; Metazoa; Chordata; Mammalia; Primates; Hominidae.
ACUCCUCUGUGGCUCUGGAAGAGCCCGGUUUCCUCAGGAGGCAUGUCGGGCCCCAGGCCUGUGGUGCUGAGCGGGCCUUCGGGAGCUGGGAAGAGCACCCUGCUGAAGAGGCUGCUCCAGGAGCACAGCGGCAUCUUUGGCUUCAGCGUGUCCCAUACCACGAGGAACCCGAGGCCCGGCGAGGAGAACGGCAAAGGGAGGUGAUGCAGCGUGACAUAGCAGCCGGCGACUUCAUCGAGCAUGCCGAGUUCUCGGGGAACCUGUAUGGCACGAGCAAGGUGGCGGUGCAGGCUGUGCAGGCCAUGAACCGCAUC